RNAcentral lists this ribosomal RNA (398 nucleotides) under uncultured bacterium. RNAcentral describes it as "partial 16S ribosomal RNA". It matches the Rfam family "Bacterial small subunit ribosomal RNA", at positions 523 to 918 of the family's 1533-position model. The record is from RNAcentral.
AUACGUAGGGCGCGAGCGUUGUCCGGAAUUACUGGGCGUAAAGAGCUCGUAGGUGGUUUGUCGCGUCGUCUGUGAAAUUUCCGGGCUUAACUCCGGGCGUGCAGGCGAUACGGGCAUAACUUGAGUACUGUAGGGGAGACUGGAGUUCCUGGUGCAGCGGUGAAAUGCGCAGAUAUCAGGAGGAACACCGGUGGCGAAGGGGGGUCGCUGGGCAGUAACUGACGCUGAGGAGCGAAAGCAUGGGUAGCGAACAGGAUUAGAUACCCUGGUAGUCCAUGCCGUAAACGGUGGGCGCUAGGUGUAGGGGUCUUCCACGACUUCUGUGCCGUAGCUAACGCAUUAAGCGCCCCGCCUGGGGAGUACGGCCGCAAGGCUAAAACUUAAAGGAAUUGACGGGG